UAAUUUGUGCAAUCAAGUCCUUUCUUCUUUUGACUUCUUGAAUGUGGGUUGCUUACAUGAUUUAAUUGAUUCAAUUUCGUGUUUACUUUUAUCUUUUUGUGAUUAUUUCUUGAUUAAAGUGAUGCCUUGACUCUUUUAUUAUUUUGGAGGAUAAAUAAGUGACUUCACCCCACUAGAGCUCCAUUUCAAGGGAGGUAUAAUUUCUUUUAUCUUUUUUGUCUCUCCCCUAUGUGAUCCAACGUGCUACGUGAAAAUUGCAUGUCUACUUGCUUCCCUUAUUUUUCUUUAAUUCCUUU
This 296-nucleotide long non-coding RNA is filed under the name Coffea arabica (coffee). Its description in RNAcentral is "long non-coding RNA (CARA_LNC001270)". The record is from RNAcentral. Lineage: Eukaryota; Viridiplantae; Streptophyta; Magnoliopsida; Gentianales; Rubiaceae.